CUAGUCUUUGGACUGAGAACUUGGCUCAUUGCCCUCAGGGCUGUGCUGGUAGAAAGGGAUUGAUGGUUUUCACACAAUCCAGUCCUACUGUGCCGGGAAAAAUACAAAAGAACUCAGACUGGACAAGUUUUUGAUGUGUUUUCUGGUAAUUGAAAAACUCUCUUAAAGGCUCCUUCAGCCCAAGUGCAUCUGGGAACUCCAAGUUAGUGCAUCUGAAGUGGCCACUGCAUAACUGAAAGAGAACCACUGCUCCUGAAAUUUCUCUGUCAGCCAUCAUGAACCAGUUAUGAAGCUACUUGCAGUACCUUGAACACACUCUGCUGUCCCUUGCCUGUGAGAACUGCCUGCAUACUCUUCCCCUUGGAACAUUCCAGCAUAGGUAUAUGCAUAGACAAGGAGAAAUUAAGAGAACUGGAAGAUAUAGAGGAAGAAAGACAGAGGGACACCUGCAGAUCUGAUUCUACCACUCAUGAACUCCUCACACCCCAGG
Long non-coding RNA from Erinaceus europaeus (western European hedgehog), 490 nucleotides. RefSeq lists it as uncharacterized. The record is from RefSeq and is a predicted model, not a curated record. NCBI's taxonomy places the organism in Eukaryota, Metazoa, Chordata, Mammalia, Eulipotyphla, Erinaceidae. The transcript has 3 exons.